This 253-nucleotide ribosomal RNA is filed under the name uncultured bacterium. Its description in RNAcentral is "partial 16S ribosomal RNA". It matches the Rfam family "Bacterial small subunit ribosomal RNA", at positions 524 to 776 of the family's 1533-position model. The record is from RNAcentral.
UACAGAGGGUGCGAGCGUUGUUCGGAAUUACUGGGCGUAAAGGGCGCGUAGGCGGCCUCUUAAGUCGAACGUGAAAUCCCCGGGCUCAACCCGGGAACUGCGUCCGAUACUGGGAGGCUUGAAUCCGGGAGAGGGAUGUGGAAUUCCAGGUGUAGCGGUGAAAUGCGUAGAUAUCUGGAGGAACACCGGUGGCGAAGGCGGCAUCCUGGACCGGUAUUGACGCUGAGGCGCGAAAGCCAGGGGAGCAAACGGG